Long non-coding RNA from Rosa rugosa (rugosa rose), 1952 nucleotides. RefSeq lists it as uncharacterized. NCBI's taxonomy places the organism in Eukaryota, Viridiplantae, Streptophyta, Magnoliopsida, Rosales, Rosaceae. The transcript has 3 exons. The record is from RefSeq and is a predicted model, not a curated record.
CUUAUACGUAACGAUAAUAAUGAAAUAUCUAUGAUUCAUACAUUACAAAAUAGAUUUUCCUCUUGAACGACAUCAGGGAACUAUAGAUUUUCCUUGCCUGGAAAAGCUUUCCGUUUAUGCAUGCCCCAAACUGGAGGGUGUGGUAGAGCUUGUGGUUCGUGAAUGUGACCAACUGGUGGUUUCAAUUGCCCACUAUAAAGAACUUUCCGUAUUAUGCAUCCGCUAUUGCAAAGGGGUUGUAUACAGAAGUGUGGUUGACUUUCAGUUAUUAGAUUUGGAGAUAACUGGCUGUGAGGAGCUGACAUGUUCAUUGCAGAAUGAGGAUGGAUUUCUGCAAAACCUUAUGUCACUUCGUCAUUUGAGUAUUGAAGGUAACUCACAUCUUGUUCAAUUGCAUCACCUCAGCUUACUACAAGAGCUUCACAUUGAUAAGUGGCCAAGCCUAGUUUCUUUUUCAUUGGCUAGUUUGCCACCUUCUCUUAAAGAUAUAAAGAUUCGAGGUUGCGAUUCUCUUACUUAUUUUGCAAGAUAUCAGAUACCGCCAAGUCUAAGGAGAAUAGAGAUAAAUAGAUGCCAAAAUUGGUGGAGGAUGAGGAGGCGAUAGGGGGUUCUUCAUCUUCUUCUCCUUGUUUGAUUCAGGAUGAGGAGUCCUCUCUCGAGUAUUUGAGCAUAUGGAACUGUCCAUCUUUGAUAUCUCUAUCAUCCAGAGUCAAGCUACCCAGGGCGCUUAAACACCUCCAGAUACAUACUUGCAGACAACUGGAGUCAAUAGCUGAUGCAUUACAUGAUAACAUUUCUCUCGAGUACAUUCACAUCUGGUAUUGCUCUAAUCUCCAAUAUUUACCAGAAGGUAUUUACUACCUCUCCAAUCUUCAGAAGUAGUUGAGUAUUUACGGUUGUAGAAGUCUUGUUUCCUUCCCGACAGGAGGGUUCCCAAGAAGUCCUUCCAACUUGAGAGAGUUUGAGAUCACCAGUUGUGAGAAAUUGGAGGCCUUACCCAAAGGCAUGCACAACCUCAACUCUCUUGAGAUAUUAAGGAUCCCCUAUUAUGAAGGUUUCACUUCCUUCCUAGAAGAAGGGUUGCCUCCUAACCUUCAGUCUCUUAAAGUUCUGAAUCUCAAGAGUUGUAAACCACUCUUCGAAUGCGGCUUGCACAGACUCACAUCUCUUAGAGAGUUGUGGAUCAAUGGUGAAGAUCCGGAACUGGUUUCCUUUCCACCCAAGAAAGAGAUGGUGCUUCCCAAAUCUCUCAUUAAGCUCAUAAUCGAAGACUUUCCGGAUCUCAAGUAUCUACCCAGCAAAGGGUUUCAGUCCCUCACAUCUCUUAAAAGACUAUAUCUGGAGUUGCCCCAAGCUACUGUCCAUUCCAGAUGAGGGCAGGCUUCUUUCACUGACACAACUUAGUAUCCGUCACUGUCCACUGCUAGAAGUGAGAUGCAAACCAGGUAAAGGUCAGUAUUGGCGCUCCAUAGCCCACAUUCCUUACAUAUGGUUGGGAGACAAGAGAAUUCAAGCUCUGUGAUUACAACUGAUACAAGAGAAAACAGUUGGAAUCUGAAAUUGUACUAUUCCCUUCCAGCAGACAUGUUUUCGGAGCUUGGUGCACUUCAUUGCCAUUGUAGCUGCAGAAAUCAAUAUUAAUCAGUAAAACCUUUUUACCUUCAUGAGUUCUGCAAACUAGGGCAGUGUUUUACAACGACAACAGCUUGGAGGUCAAUAUUUGAUUUGUUUCUACCCGAAUGUGGGUUAUAAAGGGUCAGGAUUCAGGAGACUCAGCAGUCGAUCAGGACUCAGACUCCAAAAGAAAAAAAACAGAAGAUAUGUAUAGGGCAAGUGAGGAUAAGUUCUUUCCUAUCUCUCAUUGUUGUUUGCAUUUUUGCUACAAAAUUAGAACUUUCUCCCGCAUCAUCUACUUAGAUCCAGAGUAUAGUGUUUCAACAGCGUAUGACUUG